This 155-nucleotide long non-coding RNA is filed under the name Chinchilla lanigera (long-tailed chinchilla). RNAcentral's name for it is "lncRNA (ENSCLAG00000027015.1)". The record is from RNAcentral. Lineage: Eukaryota; Metazoa; Chordata; Mammalia; Rodentia; Chinchillidae.
GAAUCUUUGAAAUUUCUGUUGCAGUUUCCUGUUAGCGACUAUGACUAUCAGGUCCUCUUCCCUGGUUAUUGUGCCCCCUCUGGGACAGGAACUUCAGAAAGGGUCCCUGCCUGUCAUGGGAGAGGAGCAAGGCAGGACAGAGAGAUCUGGAUUCU